Molecule: ribosomal RNA, 465 nt
Filed under: uncultured archaeon
Lineage: Archaea
Description: bacterial SSU rRNA
Rfam family: Archaeal small subunit ribosomal RNA
Source: RNAcentral
GUGCGAAGGGGGUACCUCGAGUGCCAUCCGAUGAAGGUGGCUUUUCCUUGGUCUAAAAAGCCUUGGGAAUAAGAGGGGGGCAAGACUGGUGUCAGCCGCCGCGGUAACACCAGCCCCUCGAGUGGUGGGGAUGAUUAUUGGGCCUAAAGCGUCCGUAGCCGGCCGRGCAAGUUUCCCGUUAAAUCCAACGUCUUAAGCGUUGGUCCGCGGGAAAUACUGUUAGGCUAGAGAGUGGGAGAGGUCAGCGGUAUUCUGGGGGUACCGGCGAAAUCCUUUGAUCCCCGGAGGACCACCAGUGGCGAAGGCUGCUGACUAKAACGCGUCUGACGGUCAGGGAAUAAAGCUGGCGUAKCGAACCGGAUUAGAUACCCGGGUAGUCCCAGCCGUAAACGAUGCAUGCUARGUGUUGGGUUGCCUCGAGCCACCCCAGUGCCGCAUGGAAGCCGUUAAGCUCUGCCGCCCKGG